This 315-nucleotide ribosomal RNA is filed under the name Triticum aestivum (bread wheat). RNAcentral describes it as "partial small subunit ribosomal RNA". Lineage: Eukaryota; Viridiplantae; Streptophyta; Magnoliopsida; Poales; Poaceae. The record is from RNAcentral.
AUGAUGAACCCAUGUGGAAGCCCAUUAACAUACAGUUGCAACAUGUACACUUUUGAGUUAACCUUCGGUAAUUAUUUUGCUGAUAGUGGAACCCGGUCCAUUGAUUGGAUCGUAAGGAAAAAAGAAAAAGAAAUAAAUUAUUUUGCUGGGUUCAUUCUUGCUGACGAUAGUCAUGAUUUUCAAAACAAACGUCUGCAUUCACAUGAGAGCUAUACACUACAACCCUGUGUGUAUGCAAAUAUUUAUUUUCUUCUCACGUUCGCCCCAGCUAACCAUGUCAUACUAAUGCAUAUCCAUGGUGGCAAGAAGAAAUGA